Molecule: long non-coding RNA, 1189 nt
Filed under: Olea europaea subsp. europaea
Lineage: Eukaryota; Viridiplantae; Streptophyta; Magnoliopsida; Lamiales; Oleaceae
Source: RNAcentral
AUUCCAUCGUUGAAUUACAUGGUAUUAGAGCCUGAUUUGGUUCAGAGAUAAUUUUUUGUUCUUCACUGGUUUCGCUGGAAACCAGGUCGCGACCAUUUGGUCUCACAACCGGCAGAGGGACAGGCUCAACCUUCCGACCGGGCAUUCCCCAAAGUCUAGUUGCCAACUUCUAAGCGCAGAACUCCGAUUUGUAGCAGAGCGUGAGGAGCACGAUUGAUCGGCGAUCACCUCAUCAAGGUCGGCUGCUCAAUUCUGGCCUUAUCCCGAUACCUUGGUGACUGAUCGACAGUCGGAUUAAUGUAUUUCUCCGCUUCUUGGCUUUGUGACACGUGAAUUUAUCCGAUCGACGAUUAGCCUCGUUCAGUGCGUGAGUAUCUGAGUUCGAUAAUUGGGCCUCUUAGUUUUGGGCUCUUUGGACUUGGUGGAUUAUUUGUGAAAUUUUAAUUGAUGUGGGGGUUUUUUUUUUUUUGGUUGGGCUCCUUUAAUUUAGGCUCUUUGGAUUUGGUGGAUUAUUUGUGAAAUUUUUAAUUUGUUGUGGGCCUUUUGUUUGGGUUAGAUUACUUGUGGGCCUUUUAUUUGUGGAUUAUUGGACAAUAACUGAGUUUAAGGGAUCUGUGAGUGAGAUGAUUCUAGUAAUGUCGAAAAUCACCUAACAUAAAUUGAAUGACUUUAAUUAUAUGGAAUGGAGCAAGACAAUCAGAGUCUAGUUACGGAGCAUAGACAAAGAUGAUCACUUAACUAAGGAUCCGCCUAAAGAUGAUACCAAACAAAGUUAGCUGAGAGAAGAUGCAAGACUCUUUCUACAAAUUAGAAACUCUAUCGAUGGUGAGGUAAUUGGUUUAAUUAAUCACUAUGAAUUUGUUAAAGAGUUAAUGGAUUAUUUGGAGUUUUUGUAUUCUGGCAAAGGAAAUGUGUCACGAAUUUAUAAAGUUUGCAAGACUUUUUACCGAGCUGAAAAGGAAGCCAAGUCUCUCACAGCUUAUUAAAGAAGAAUUUAAUAUGUUAAUGCCAUUUAGCACAGAUGUCAAAAUACAGCAAAUUUAAAGGGAGCAAAUGGCUGUUACGAGUUUUUUGGCUGGUCUUCCUUCCAAAUACGAGACUUCCAAAUCUCAAAUUCUCUCUAUUUCUGAAAUUCUCUCUCUACAAGACGUCUUCAGUAGAGUUCUGCACACUGAAAAUACAUCACCUA